CUUGAAUACUAUUAUAGAUAGAGAUAAACUGUAAACAACAAUAAUGUUCAGCAAAGUAAGAUUUACAAAUAAGUUAACAUGACCGAAAUGGUUAGUUGACCCAUUUAGGAGUUAUUGCCCUUUAUAGUCAAUUUUUAACAACUUUUCGUCAUUUUUUGUAACUUUUCUAAAAAUCUUCUUCUCCAAAACUACUUUGCCAAAUUUAACCAAACUUGGCCACAAUUAUCAUUGUGGUUUAUAGUUUAAAAAAUGUGUCCGAUGACCCAGCCUGCCAAACAAAAUGGCCGACAUGGCUAAAAUUAGAACAUAGUGGUAAAAUGCAGUUUUUGCUUUAUAUCUUUGAAACUAAGACAUUUAGGGCAAAUCUUUCAAGAUUUAAAUGUCCAUCAGAAUAAGAUAUAUCCCCUCACAAAUUUUGAGUUGAAUCGGACAACCUGUUGUUGGGUUGCUGCCCUAAAAUUGGUGAUUUUAAGGAAAUUUUGCAGUUUUUGGUUAUUAUCUUGAAUACUAUUAUAGAUAGAGAUAAACUGUAAACAGCAAUAAUGUUCAGCAAACUAAGAUCUACAAAUAAGUCAGCAUGAUCAAAAUUGUUAGAGGACCCCUUAAGGAGUUAUUGCCCUUUAUAGUCAAUAUUGAACAACUUUUCGUCAUUUUUGUAACUUGUAUAAAAAUCUUUUCUAAAACGACUUGGCCAAAUUUAACCAAACUUGGCCACAAUCAUAAUACUAGGGUAUCUAUUUUAAAAAAAAAGUGUCUAAUGACCCCGCCUACCAACGAAGAUGGCCGACAUCAGUAAACACAUUAACAGGUGAGCGACACAGGCUCUUGAGAGCCUCUAGUUUUCUCCAUUUA
This 852-nucleotide long non-coding RNA is filed under the name Mytilus galloprovincialis (Mediterranean mussel). The record is from RNAcentral. Lineage: Eukaryota; Metazoa; Mollusca; Bivalvia; Mytilida; Mytilidae.